ACUCAAAUGAAUUGACGGGGGCUCACACAAGCGGUGGAGCAUGUUGCUUAAUUCGAGGCAACGCGAAGAACCUUACCUGGGUUUGACAUGGCCGGAUUAGCUCUUGGAAACAGGAGUGACACCUUCGGGUGGAACGGUCACAGGUGCUGCAUGGCUGUCGUCAGCUCGUGCUGUGAAGUGUCGGGUUAAGUCCCUUAACGAGCGCAACCCCUAUCGUUAGUUGCUAACGGGUCAUGCCGAGUACUCUAGCGAGACUGCCGGUGUCAAACCGGAGGAAGGUGGGGAUGACGUCAAGUCCUCAUGGCCCUUACAUCCAGGGAUGCAAACGUGCUACAAUGGUGCGCACAAAGCGAUGCAAGACAGCGAUGUGGAGCAAAUCGCAAAAAACGCACCCCAGUUCGGAUUGCAGGCUGCAACUCGCCUGCAUGAAGUCGGAAUCGCUAGUAAUCGGAGAUCAGCUACGCUCCGGUGAAUAUGUUCCUGAGCCUUGUACACACCGCCCGU
RNAcentral lists this ribosomal RNA (504 nucleotides) under uncultured bacterium. RNAcentral describes it as "partial 16S ribosomal RNA". It matches the Rfam family "Bacterial small subunit ribosomal RNA", at positions 899 to 1397 of the family's 1533-position model. The record is from RNAcentral.